UACGAAGGGGGCUAGCGUUGUUCGGAAUUACUGGGCGUAAAGCGCACGUAGGCGGAUUGUUAAGUCAGGGGUGAAAUCCUGGAGCUCAACUCCAGAACUGCCUUUGAUACUGGCGAUCUCGAGUCCGGGAGAGGUGAGUGGAACUGCGAGUGUAGAGGUGAAAUUCGUAGAUAUUCGCAAGAACACCAGUGGCGAAGGCGGCUCACUGGCCCGGUACUGACGCUGAGGUGCGAAAGCGUGGGGAGCAAACAGGG
Molecule: ribosomal RNA, 254 nt
Filed under: uncultured bacterium
Lineage: Bacteria
Description: partial 16S ribosomal RNA
Rfam family: Bacterial small subunit ribosomal RNA
Source: RNAcentral